UGGUGGAAGCAGUACCAAACAAGGAAACAGCAGAGGUAGCAGAAGACAAGGUUAAGAAAUUGGUUUCUCGAUGGAUUUUCUUCCUCACAUAUUCGUCUCUACAGCAAUCAUCAUUCUCUCCCUCGCAAUCGUGCCUCUAUCUCAUUUCCAUCCAACCUUUAACUAUUUUUUGGCUUGGAAGUCACCAUUGUCUCAGCCAGUGGCCAGUUUGGUUUUAAGGAAUGGGGUGAUAUUUACCAGUGAUGACACUCUUCCAUUUGCAGAAUCUAUGGCAGUGGCCAAUGGGAGGGUUCUUCGUGUUGGCAACCAUUCAUUUGUCCAGGAAUUGGCAGGUUAUGGAACUCAAGUGUUGGAUCUUGGUGGGAAAGUUGUGGUUCCUGGGUUUAUUGAUUCCCAUGUGCAUUUCAUUAAUGGUGGAUUGCGGAUGACUCAGGUGAAACUGAGUGGUGUGAAUAAAAAGGAAGAGUUUGUCAGAAGGAUCGAAGUUGCAGUACAAAGCACAAAACAUAGUUCCUGGAUUUUGGGUGGUGGAUGGAACAAUGAUCUAUGGGGAGGAGAUCUGCCAGCUGCUUCUUGGAUCGAUGAUGUUACUCUUAACAAUCCUGUUUGGCUAUCAAGAAUGGAUGGUCACAUGGGCUUGGCUAACUCAGUAGCAUUGAGAUUGGCUGGGAUUACAAAUUUAACUGAUAAUCCUAGAGGAGGAUCUAUAGUGAGGACUUCCAAUGGAGAACCUACUGGACUGCUAAUUGAUUCUGCAAUGUCACUUGUGAUCUCUCAGAUUCCAGAGGAUUCAGUGCAUGAUAGGAGGGAGGCAUUGCUUAGAGCAAGCAAUCUUGCCCUAACAAGAGGGGUCACAACAGUUGUUGAUAUGGGAAGAUAUUAUCCUGGGGUUUCAGCAGAUCUUUCUUGGGAGGAUUUUUCAGACGUUUAUCAAUGGUCUAGUUCUAUGUCAAAGAUGAAGAUUAGAGUGUGUUUAUUUUUUCCAAUGGAGACAUGGUCACGUUUAGUGGAUGUGAUUAACAAAAUGGGCCAUACCUUGAGCGAAUGGAUUUAUUUGGGUGGUGUCAAAGCUUUUGCUGAUGGAUCUCUGGGUUCCAAUAGUGCAUUGUUUUAUGAGCCAUAUAUUGAUGAGCCUGACAAUUAUGGUCUUCACGUGACUGAACCUGAAGCUCUUCUCAACAUGACGUUGGAGUCAGAUUUAAAUGGUCUACAGGUUGCUAUUCAUGCUAUAGGGGACAAAGCAAAUGACCUUAUCUUGGACAUAUAUGGUUCAGUUGCUUCUACAAAUGGAAUGAGAGAUCGAAGAUUCAGGAUUGAGCAUGCCCAACAGUUGGCAUUUGGAACUCCAGACCGAUUUGGCAAACAACGGGUUGUUGCUUCCAUGCAGCCAGACCAAUUAUUGGAUGAUGCUGAAUCUGCAAGUAAAAAGCUUGGCAAGGAUAGAGCUGAAAAGGAGUCAUAUUUAUUUCGGUCACUCUUGGAUAGCAAUGCAUUAUUGGCAUUUGGUUCUGACUGGCCAGUGGUAGACAUCAAUCCCUUAAGUGGUAUUAAGACAGCAAUGAGAAGAAGGCCUCCCACUUGGGAAAGUGCAUGGAUUCCAUCAGAGUGCAUUUCUUUAGAUGAUGCGAUAAAGGCUUACACCAUUUCUGCUGCUCGUGCAAGCUUCCUUGACAAGGAUCUGGGGUCCUUGUCUCCGGGGAAACUGGCAGAUUUUGUCAUAUUAUCGAUGGAUUCAUGGAAAGACUUUGCUGAGGAAGCAUCUGCAUCUGUUGAAGAAACAUAUGUUUCUGGUGUGAGAGCAUAUCCUCGAAGUUGAAGUUCUUCCAUCGUUAGUUGAUCAAGAUUUUCAUACUGAAUAUGUGGACGCAAAGAAUGGUGGUAGUGGCAGUUUUUCGGUUCAGAUGAACUCAAGGGGCUGAAGGGGCACAUCCGAUAUAGCAAAGAGUCAAAAUUUUAUGGCAGCCUCAAACCAUAGAAAGAUGGUCAGCAAAGUGCUUGAUUUUGUUCGUUGGUCUUCGGGCGCAAGCUUCUCGUGCUUGAGAGUAUUCACUUCUUUGUUUGGAAAACUACUCAUGACGUUGUGCCCACCUUUUCCUUAUUGUCUCGUCGCAGGUUAACUCUUUAUGAUACUUGCAAAAUCUGUUCUACAACUCUUAAAAUGCUCCAACGUUGUACUCGUGACUAGGACUUCGGUGUCCCGAAACAAUUCUUUGGGCAUGCAAUUGGAGGUUGUCGGGAUUUUGUGGUACAAUAUUGUGAUUUGAGAUAUCGUUUGGGUUCUUGGUUAUGUUUGUCGGUCACAUUGGUGUAACUGAUAGCCUACAUGCUAAGAUGUUAGCAGUUCAUAACGAGUUGGAUGUUUGUUGACAACACAAUUUUAAUUUAGGCAAACUGGUAUCUUUUAUGAUU
This is an RNA transcript of Lotus japonicus, 2409 nucleotides long. It is a transcript of the gene named protein LONG AFTER FAR-RED 3, with no coding region annotated. NCBI's taxonomy places the organism in Eukaryota, Viridiplantae, Streptophyta, Magnoliopsida, Fabales, Fabaceae. The transcript has 16 exons. The record is from RefSeq and is a predicted model, not a curated record.